UCAGACGUGGUGUGGGGACACCCUCGCCUUACAUUCCGCCAGUAGAGAAUAUACAACGAGCGUCGGGGUUCGACUCCCCGCGUCUGAG
Mycena albidolilacea is the source of this 88-nucleotide non-coding RNA. The record is from the annotation of a GenBank genome assembly. Lineage: Eukaryota; Fungi; Basidiomycota; Agaricomycetes; Agaricales; Mycenaceae.